UAGGGAAUCUUCGGCAAUGGGGGGAACCCUGACCGAGCAACGCCGCGUGAGUGAAGAAGGUUUUCGGAUCGUAAAGCUCUGUUGUUAAGGAAGAACGAGUGUGAGAAUGGAAAGUUCAUGCUGUGACGGUACUUAACCAGAAAGGGACGGCUAACUACGUGCCAGCAGCCGCGGUAAUACGUAGGUCCCGAGCGUUGUCCGGAUUUAUUGGGCGUAAAGCGAGCGCAGGCGGUCAAUUAAGUCUGAUGUGAAAGCCCCCGGCUCAACCGGGGAGGGUCAUUGGAAACUGGUUGACUUGAGUGCAGAAGAGGAGAGUGGAAUUCCAUGUGUAGCGGUGGAAUGCGCAGAUAUCAGGAGGAACACCGGUGGCGAAGGCGGGUCUCUGGGCCGUUACUGACGCUGAGGAGCGAAAGCGUGGGGAGCGAACAGG
RNAcentral lists this ribosomal RNA (430 nucleotides) under Bacteroidota bacterium. RNAcentral describes it as "Bacteroidetes bacterium partial 16S ribosomal RNA". It matches the Rfam family "Bacterial small subunit ribosomal RNA", at positions 355 to 776 of the family's 1533-position model. The record is from RNAcentral. Lineage: Bacteria; Pseudomonadati; Bacteroidota.